This 459-nucleotide ribosomal RNA is filed under the name uncultured bacterium. RNAcentral's name for it is "partial 16S ribosomal RNA". It matches the Rfam family "Bacterial small subunit ribosomal RNA", at positions 338 to 795 of the family's 1533-position model. The record is from RNAcentral.
CCUACGGGUGGCAGCAGUGAGGAAUAUUGGUCAAUGGACGAGAGUCUGAACCAGCCAAGUAGCGUGAAGGAUGACUGCCCUAUGGGUUGUAAACUUCUUUUAUAUGGGAAUAAAAUGUUCCACGUGUGGGAUUUUGUAUGUACCAUAUGAAUAAGGAUCGGCUAACUCCGUGCCAGCAGCCGCGGUAAUACGGAGGAUCCGAGCGUUAUCCGGAUUUAUUGGGUUUAAAGGGAGCGUAGGUGGAUUGUUAAGUCAGUUGUGAAAGUUUGCGGCUCAACCGUAAAAUUGCAGUUGAAACUGGCAGUCUUGAGUACAGUAGAGGUGGGCGGAAUUCGUGGUGUAGCGGUGAAAUGCUUAGAUAUCACGAAGAACUCCGAUUGCGAAGGCAGUUCACUGGACUGCAACUGACACUGAGGCUCGAAAGUGUGGGUAUCAAACAGGAUUAGAUACCCUUGUAUC